RNAcentral lists this long non-coding RNA (1036 nucleotides) under Rattus norvegicus (Norway rat). RNAcentral's name for it is "long non-coding RNA NONRATT032550". The record is from RNAcentral. Lineage: Eukaryota; Metazoa; Chordata; Mammalia; Rodentia; Muridae.
AAAGUAUAUUUAUUUAUUGUUUUAUACAUAUUUAUUAAUAUCACUGCUUCUAGGAGAUCAACUUUGAGGGACACAAAAGUGAGAAGCAAAAUACAUUCUGUACAAUGAAGAUUCAUCAAUUCAAAUGAGAACUCAGCAUCAGUUACGAAAGAAAAUUCUUAGUUUGCUGCUGUGUUGAAGACAAACAUAUUUGAUAUGGCAGCUGCCAUCCUUCCCAGCAUUCCUCUACAGACACUAAGGGUCUUCAGAGUCAGCAUUUUGCUCUUCAACAAUCAAGAGUGUACUUAAGAUGUGGGACUCUGUUUAAGCUUUUACCUCAAGACUACUUGCCAUCUACCUGCUGUCUUGGAGUGGACGUUCAGCGGUUGCGUGUGGCUCUGACUUCCAAGAGGAGACAAGGGACUCAGAAUUCAAGGUCCAGGGAAAUGUUGGAUUUUUACUGGAGUCCAGAGGACUGCUUUUCACCGCUACCAAGGGACCCUGAAUAUUGCACCACACUCAUCUUUCUGAACUGGCCACUGGCUGUCUUUCAACUGCCUGUCUCGGGCACUGUGUGUACUGCUUUGGACUACUAGCCAUACGCUGCCAUUUGGGGCUCAAACUGAGGAAAUGUUUGCAUAGCAUCAUCGUCAAGAAGUUGUGUAUAUUCUGCUAGGAAGUAAAGAUGCUGACCUUAAGCAUUGAGAGAUGGAAGCCAUUCUGAGACAAUGCAGGGAGACUAAGUGCUUGUGGGUUAUUUUUGUUUAUAAAGAGUUUGCAACCAGCCCACGUUGAUCCACAGAGAAGUAGCUCCUAAAAGUCACUUAGCUAUGUAUUGGCUUUAUCUGGGAGCUAUGGCUACCAUUUCGGACUCUAAUAUAAAUAGACAAUAAAUAUUUUUCCUGAAUUCCUUUUCAUUUUGCGCGCGCGCUCUCUGUCUCUCUGUCUCUCUGUCUCUCUGUCUCUCUGUCUCUCUCUCUCUCUCUCUCUCUCUCUCUCUCUCUCUCUCUCUCUCUGUGUGUGUGUGUGUGUGUGUGUGUGUGUGUGUGUGUGUGUG